ACUUGGCUGCAACUGGACCCAGAACUAGGGAAGAGGCCAGGGACAGAUUUUUUUUUUUUAUUUUUAUUUUUUUUGCCGAGGGACGUUUCAAAAUUUUGCACGGCCAGGGUGACAAAAAGAGGAUUUAAGAGCCACAAGCGGUCCGCACAUGACCCAGACUUCGUUCCUGUGCGGCUUCCAGAGGUGUUCAUGCAGAAGACUGGAUGCAGGACCCUUGGUGGCACCAGUGUGCAGAUGAGCAGAUAGUGACUGAUUGCCACUGGGGCUAUAACAAAAUAUAAUAAACUGGGUACCUUAGAAGCAACGGAAAUUGAUUUCUCAUCGUUCUAGAAGCUAGGAAGUUCACGAUCAAGGUAGCAGCAGAGUUGGUGCCUGCUCUGGAGGCUGGAAAUCCAACAACAGAGUGCCAGCAUGAUCAGGUUCUGGAGAGGACCCUCUUCCUGUUUGCAGACUGCUGACUUCUUAUUGUAUAUUCCAAUGGUAGAAAGAGAGCAAGAGAACUCUCUGGAGUCUUUUUUUUAUAAGGGUGCUAACCCCAUUUAAGGAGGUUUCCCCUCAUAAUCUAAUUAUCUCUCAAAAGCCAUACCUUUCAACACCAUUGCAUUGAAGAUCUUUACCAUGCUGGAUUGGAAGAGAAAAGACCAUCACUAAAGCAAAUGGAUCAAAUGGAGUUAUAAAUCAACUCUGUACUCUACAGGAUUGACUCAACUGCAGACAUCUCCAAUACACUCCCUCAUGGCUUUAUUUUUUCUGCUUAUGUGGAAAAAUAACAGUAAAUACAGUUAACUAUCCCAAGACAGAAGAGUAUUAUUAAAAAAGAAUACAACGUUAUUGAUUUUUCAAGACAUAAUCAGAUAUUUUUAAACUCUGAUUUAAUAAAACAUAAUGUAAUUUC
RNAcentral lists this long non-coding RNA (895 nucleotides) under Homo sapiens (human). Its description in RNAcentral is "uncharacterized LOC101929174, transcript variant 4 (LOC101929174)". Lineage: Eukaryota; Metazoa; Chordata; Mammalia; Primates; Hominidae. The record is from RNAcentral.